UACGUAGGGCGCAAGCGUUAUCCGGAAUUAUUGGGCGUAAAGAGCUCGUAGGCGGUUUGUCGCGUCUGCCGUGAAAGUCCGGGGCUCAACUCCGGAUCUGCGGUGGGUACGGGCAGACUAGAGUGAUGUAGGGGAGACUGGAAUUCCUGGUGUAGCGGUGAAAUGCGCAGAUAUCAGGAGGAACACCGAUGGCGAAGGCAGGUCUCUGGGCAUUAACUGACGCUGAGGAGCGAAAGUAUGGGGAGCGAACAGG
RNAcentral lists this ribosomal RNA (253 nucleotides) under uncultured bacterium. RNAcentral describes it as "partial 16S ribosomal RNA". It matches the Rfam family "Bacterial small subunit ribosomal RNA", at positions 524 to 776 of the family's 1533-position model. The record is from RNAcentral.